ACGUAGGUCACAAGCGUUGUCCGGAAUUACUGGGUGUAAAGGGAGCGCAGGCGGGAAGACAAGUUGGAAGUGAAAUCUAUGGGCUUAACCCAUAAACUGCUUUCAAAACUGUUUUUCUUGAGUAGUGCAGAGGUAGGCGGAAUUCCCGGUGUAGCGGUGGAAUGCGUAGAUAUCGGGAGGAACACCAGUGGCGAAGGCGGCCUACUGGGCACCAACUGACGCUGAGGCUCGAAAGUGUGGGUAGCAAACAG
Molecule: ribosomal RNA, 251 nt
Filed under: uncultured bacterium
Lineage: Bacteria
Description: partial 16S ribosomal RNA
Rfam family: Bacterial small subunit ribosomal RNA
Source: RNAcentral